GAGUGGUGCUCUAAUCCUCCCC
This 22-nucleotide non-coding RNA is filed under the name Arabidopsis thaliana (thale cress). Lineage: Eukaryota; Viridiplantae; Streptophyta; Magnoliopsida; Brassicales; Brassicaceae. The record is from RNAcentral.